This 429-nucleotide ribosomal RNA is filed under the name Bacteroidota bacterium. RNAcentral describes it as "Bacteroidetes bacterium partial 16S ribosomal RNA". It matches the Rfam family "Bacterial small subunit ribosomal RNA", at positions 355 to 776 of the family's 1533-position model. The record is from RNAcentral. Lineage: Bacteria; Pseudomonadati; Bacteroidota.
UAGGGAAUCUUCCGCAAUGGACGCAAGUCUGACGGAGCAACGCCGCGUGAGUGAAGAAGGAUUUCGGUUCGUAAAACUCUGUUGUUAGAGAAGAACAGCGCAUAGAGUAACUGUUAUGCGUGUGACGGUAUCUAACCAGAAAGCCACGGCUAACUACGUGCCAGCAGCCGCGGUAAUACGUAGGUGGCAAGCGUUGUCCGGAUUUAUUGGGCGUAAAGCGAGCGCAGGCGGUCAAUUAAGUCUGAGGUGAAAGCCCCCGGCUCAACCGGGGAGGGUCAUUGGAAACUGGUUGACUUGAGUGCAGAUGAGGAGAGUGGAAUUCCAUGUGUAGCGGUGAAAUGCGUAGAUAUAUGGAGGAACACCAGUGGCUAAGGCGACUCUCUGGUCUGUAACUGACGCUGAGGCUCGAAAGCGUGGGUAGCAAACAGG